GGGUCGAUAGCUCAGUCGGUAGAGCAACAGCCUUUUAAGCUGAUGGUCCCGAGUUCGAAUCUCGGUCGACCCACCA
RNAcentral lists this transfer RNA (76 nucleotides) under Candidatus Peregrinibacteria bacterium HGW-Peregrinibacteria-1. Its description in RNAcentral is "tRNA-Lys". It matches the Rfam family "tRNA". From Rfam's summary of the family: Transfer RNA (tRNA) molecules are approximately 80 nucleotides in length. Their secondary structure includes four short double-helical elements and three loops (D, anti-codon, and T loops). The record is from RNAcentral. Lineage: Bacteria; Candidatus Peregrinibacteriota.